Molecule: ribosomal RNA, 424 nt
Filed under: uncultured prokaryote
Description: bacterial SSU rRNA
Rfam family: Bacterial small subunit ribosomal RNA
Source: RNAcentral
UGGGGAAUAUUGGACAAUGGGCGAAAGCCUGAUCCAGCCAUGCCGCGUGAGUGAUGAAGGCCCUAGGGUUGUAAAGCUCUUUCAGUGGGGAAGAUAAUGACGGUACCCACACAAGAAGCCCCGGCUAACUUCGUGCCAGCAGCCGCGGUAAUACGAAGGGGGCUAGCGUUGUUCGGAAUUACUGGGCGUAAAGCGCACGUAGGCGGAUUGUUAAGUGAGGGGUGAAAUCCCAGGGCUCAACCCUGGAACUGCCUUUCAUACUGGCAAUCUGGAGUUCGAGAGAGGUGAGUGGAAUUCCGAGUGUAGAGGUGAAAUUCGUAGAUAUUCGGAGGAACACCAGUGGCGAAGGCGGCUCACUGGCUCGAUACUGACGCUGAGGUGCGAAAGCGUGGGGAGCAAACAGGAUUAGAUACCCCGGUAGUCC